This 221-nucleotide unclassified non-coding RNA is filed under the name plant metagenome. RNAcentral's name for it is "partial contains small subunit ribosomal RNA and internal transcribed spacer 1". The stretch from base 1 to 46 matches the Rfam family "Eukaryotic small subunit ribosomal RNA", at positions 1786 to 1831 of the family's 1831-position model. The record is from RNAcentral.
AAGUCGUAACAAGGUUUCCGUAGGUGAACCUGCGGAAGGAUCAUUACAGUAGUCACCCGGGUUGCCGCAAGGCCCCCGCCGUAACCUACCACCCUUUGUUUAUUACUCUUUGUUGCUUUGGCAGGCCUGCCCUCGGGCUGCUGGCUCCGGCCGGCGAGCGCUUGCCAGAGGACCUAAACUCUGUUUGUCUAUACUGUCUGAGUACUAUAUAAUAGUUAAAA